AAUGUGAUUGCUGGAUUUUAUGGUAAGAGUAUGUUUAAUUUUGUAAGAAACUGCCAAACUGUCUCCCAAAUUGGUUGUACCAUUUUGCCUUCCCAACAGCAAU
RNAcentral lists this microRNA precursor (103 nucleotides) under Marmota monax (woodchuck). The record is from RNAcentral. Lineage: Eukaryota; Metazoa; Chordata; Mammalia; Rodentia; Sciuridae.